AUAUUUACCUGACAGGGGAGAUACCAUGAUCAAGAAAGUGGUUCACCCAGGGCAAGGCUUGGCCAUUGCACUCCGGCCAAAAGACCCCUGCGAAUUCCUCAAAUGUGGUAAUCUUGACUGCAUAAUUUCUGGUAGUGGGGCUCUCCCCUG
Molecule: small nuclear RNA, 150 nt
Organism: Danio rerio (zebrafish)
Lineage: Eukaryota; Metazoa; Chordata; Actinopteri; Cypriniformes; Danionidae
Gene: U1
Rfam family: U1 spliceosomal RNA
About the family: U1 is a small nuclear RNA (snRNA) component of the spliceosome (involved in pre-mRNA splicing). Its 5' end forms complementary base pairs with the 5' splice junction, thus defining the 5' donor site of an intron.
Source: Ensembl